CUGUGGGCUUGCAUCGGGUACGGGCAGACUAGAGUGCUGUAGGGGAGACUGGAAUUCCUGGUGUAGCGGUGGAAUGCGCAGAUAUCAGGAGGAACACCGAUGGCGAAGGCAGGUCUCUGGGCAGUUACUGACGCUGAGGAGCGAAAGCAUGGGGAGCGAACAGGAUUAGAUACCCUGGUAGUCCAUGCCGUAAACGUUGGGCACUAGGUGUGGGGCGGGUUCCACUCGUUCUGUGCCGCAGCUAACGUAUUAAGUGCCCCGCCUGGGGAGUACGGCCGCAAGGCUAAAACUCAAAGGAAUUGACGGGGGCCCGCACAAGCGGCGGAGCAUGCGGAUUAAUUCGAUGCAACGCGAAGAACCUUACCAAGGCUUGACAUGUACGAGAAAGCCCCAGAGAUGGGGUUCUCUUUGGACACUCGUACACAGGUGGUGCAUGGUUGUCGUCAGCUCGUGUCGUGAGAUGUUGGGUUAAGUCCCGCAACGAGCGCAACCCUUAUCCUAUGUUGCCAGCGGGUUAUGCCGGGGACUCACGGGAGACUGCCGGGGUCAACUCGGAGGAAGGUGGGGAUGACGUCAAAUCAUCAUGCCCCUUAUGUCUUGGGCUUCACGCAUGCUACAAUGGCCGGUACAGAGGGCUGCGAUACCGUGAGGUGGAGCGAAUCCCAAAAAGCCGGUCUCAGUUCGGAUCGGGGUCUGCAACUCGACCCCGUGAAGUCGGAGUCGCUAGUAAUCGCAGAUCAGCAACGCUGCGGUGAAUACGUUCCCGGGCCUUGUACACACCGCCCGUCAAGUCACGAAAGUUGGUAACACCCGAAGCUCACGGCCCAACCCCUUGUGGGAGGGAGUGUCGAAGUGAC
RNAcentral lists this ribosomal RNA (857 nucleotides) under uncultured bacterium. RNAcentral describes it as "bacterial SSU rRNA". It matches the Rfam family "Bacterial small subunit ribosomal RNA", at positions 613 to 1468 of the family's 1533-position model. The record is from RNAcentral.